AGCGAACGUUGGCGGCAGGCCUAACACAUGCAAGUCGAACGAAGUCUUCGGACUUAGUGGCGGACGGGUGAGUAACACGUGGGAACGUGCCUUUAGGUUCGGAGUAACUCAGGGAAACUUGUGCUAAUACCGAAUGUGCCCUUCGGGGGAAAGAUUUAUCGCCUUUAGAGCGGCCCGCGUCUGAUUAGCUAGUUGGUGAGGUAAAGGCUCACCAAGGCGACGAUCAGUAGCUGGUCUGAGAGGAUGAUCAGCCACAUUGGGACUGAGACACGGCCCAAACUCCUACGGGAGGCAGCAGUGGGGAAUCUUGCGCAAUGGGCGAAAGCCUGACGCAGCCAUGCCGCGUGAAUGAUGAAGGUCUUAGGAUUGUAAAAUUCUUUCACCGGGGACGAUAAUGACGGUACCCGGAGAAGAAGCCCCGGCUAACUUCGUGCCAGCAGCCGCAGUAA
This 449-nucleotide ribosomal RNA is filed under the name uncultured bacterium. Its description in RNAcentral is "partial 16S ribosomal RNA". It matches the Rfam family "Bacterial small subunit ribosomal RNA", at positions 29 to 523 of the family's 1533-position model. The record is from RNAcentral.